UGUACAAGAGAUCAUUGUCAUCCUGGGUGUUCUUUGUAUUCUUCAUACUAGAAAUCCAUAACACGCCAAAUGCCCUUAGAACCAUGGACAGCACCCAGGUUUUACAAAUGUCUUCUCCAGGCUUCAGAAGGAAGGUGGUGGACAUUCUUUCCAUCAUGACACAAACCAACAAUUACAUACCAGGCUUUGUUGGUGAGAAAGCAAGGUGGCCCACCUGGAGAUUUAUGCCGAAACAACCACUUUACAACACAACCCACGGAGUCCUUGACGUUGGCUUGGUUUGUCAAUCCCACCACCUCAUACCAUUUAGAAACUUAUCAGCUAUUUCUAGAUAACUGGGUGUUUUAGUUUCCUGUAGAUAAAACUGAAGGCUAAAUUGAAUAUAUGACUAAGUUAUUUACUAUGAGGAAUCUUAGUCCAGGAAAACCUCUCAAAAUACACAAAUGUCUGAGAGAUGUAAUAUAUUUAAUUAAUCCCUUACUCCUUUUAUUUUUAUUUUUUAUUUUUUCAGAGACAAGGUCUUGCUUUGACACCCAGGCUGGAGUGCAGUAGUGCAAUCAGAGGUCAUUACAGCCUCCAACUCCUGGGCUUAAGUGAUCCUCCUGCCUCAUCCUCCCAAGCAGCUGGAGCUACAAGUGUGCACCAUCAUGCCUGGCCCCUUUAUUCCUAAACGUUUCUUCAUGAAGGAAGAUACAAAUUUACAUGAGCCCAUGCUCUUCACAUGGGUAAGGGGAAAACAGAGAGAACUCACAGGGCACCCACAUAUUGUGCUUUAUCAUUUGACCUAGGAACAGUCUUGAAUAGGCAGCUUGGGUUUCUACUCCCAGAAAAUACUUUGACAUACAUUAAUUUAUUCACUUAAAACUCAUUAUUUCCUGGGUUUCCAUGCAGUGUCUCUGAAAAAAGAGAACCAAAAUGUGAGGAAUUCAACCAAACAUCAAGAUAAAUCAACUCAGGGCCAGGAGUAUUUGUGCCAUGCCUGCUCAGAGCCGCUAUGGACAAGCUCAGUUUGUUAGUUCAGCUCUUUGAAGCAUGAUAUGUAGACACACUUGCAUGUUCACACACAUUGUUUGCUAAACUGUGGGAAGGUAAUCAGAAGAGAAGAGCCACGAGGUUGUCAAUCUAGCAUCAGAAAUUUGGUGGCAUAGGAUUUCUCUACAAUGCUGUCCACUAAAACUUUUUGUAAUGAUGAAGAUAUCCUAUAGCCAAGCUGACCAAUACAAUAGACAUUAGUCAUAUGUGACUGUUGAGCACUUGAAUAUGGGUAGUGAAAUUGAAGAACUGAAUUUUUAUUUUUAGAUUUUAAUUAUUUUAAAUUUAAGUAGCUGCAGAUGGCUAAAAUUGAAUGGUGAACUUCCAGGACAAAGGAUGUUUUUGCCUUCAACAAUAUCGGAAAAGCAGGGGUGAGUGGAAUGUCAGAUUGCAAUGCAAUUGCUUGUGUUUCUGCGGAGUUCAUGGAAGAAACUCAUUAUACUCAUUUGUAAUGCUUGAUGGUAAAUUUGAUUUUCUCUUUAGAAUGUAGAGAUUAAAUCUUGGUUUAAAACUGCCUCUCUGUGAGCAGUUUCUCCAUCAGUGAAACGGGUGUAAUUUCAACUCGUUGAGAGUGCUCAGUUAUGCAAUAUAUGCAAUGUUUCUUAUCUGUGUCUGAAAACAGUUAAUAAAAGGUUGCUGUGCUUGACGCU
Molecule: long non-coding RNA, 1682 nt
Filed under: Homo sapiens (human)
Lineage: Eukaryota; Metazoa; Chordata; Mammalia; Primates; Hominidae
Description: non-protein coding lnc-MAP1LC3B2-15:1
Source: RNAcentral